CAUCUUAUCACUGCAUAAAAAAGCCAAUUGGUAGUUGAAUGAAAAUAUGUCUUCUAGAAAGUGCAAUUGACAGCAGACAGAAACAGCUUUCAGGAUAGUAGGAUAAAAAGAAAACAUCGCCCCAGGCUUAUGUUCAAGACAAAGAGUGAUUCAUGGCAUGGUGAGCUCCCAUCAUUUGCAUCCUCUGGACAAUGGUGAUGGCACCUGCUAACCCUUUCAACCUAUUUUAAGACUGUGCAAUUCUUGAGCAGUUUUCCAUGACUCUCCCUUCAAUGUUACGCUAUGGAACAGGGCUGAAAGAUAUAAAGGCGGUUUGUAUCAGAAUGCUGAUCAGGAUGGCUGGCAAAGAUAAUUACUGUCAGAAAUCCAAAUGCU
This is a long non-coding RNA of Pantherophis guttatus, 375 nucleotides long. RefSeq lists it as uncharacterized. The record is from RefSeq and is a predicted model, not a curated record. NCBI's taxonomy places the organism in Eukaryota, Metazoa, Chordata, Lepidosauria, Squamata, Colubridae.